GAUGAAGAACGUAGCGAAAUGCGAUAAGUAAUGUGAAUUGCAGAAUUCAGUGAAUCAUCGAAUUUUUGAACGCACAUUGCGCCCGCCAGUAUUCUGGCGGGCAUGCCUGUUCGAGCGUCAUUACAACCCUCAGGCCCCCGGGCCUGGCGUUGGGGAUCGGCGGAGCCCCCCGUGGGCACACGCCGUCCCCCAAAUACAGUGGCGGUCCCGCCGCAGCUUCCAUCGCGUAGUACCUAACACCUCGCGACUGGAGAGCGGCGCGGCCACGCCGUAAAACACCCAACUCUUCUGAAGUUGACCUCGAAUCAGGUAGGAAUACCCGCUGAACUUAAGCAUAUCAAUAAGCGGAGGA
This 352-nucleotide unclassified non-coding RNA is filed under the name soil metagenome. RNAcentral's name for it is "partial contains 5.8S ribosomal RNA, internal transcribed spacer 2, and large subunit ribosomal RNA". The stretch from base 1 to 120 matches the Rfam family "5.8S ribosomal RNA", at positions 35 to 154 of the family's 154-position model. The record is from RNAcentral.